GAAGCAGGAACCCGGUUCCAGGUUGCUGGGUAAUACCGGGGGCUGUCCCCGCAAGGGGCAGACC
This 64-nucleotide non-coding RNA is filed under the name unclassified sequences. The record is from RNAcentral.